Rhincodon typus (whale shark) is the source of this 4423-nucleotide RNA transcript. It is a transcript of the gene named PIH1 domain containing 1, with no coding region annotated. The transcript has 11 exons. The record is from RefSeq and is a predicted model, not a curated record. Lineage: Eukaryota; Metazoa; Chordata; Chondrichthyes; Orectolobiformes; Rhincodontidae.
AUCUGGUCAGCAUGGAUGAGUCAGACCGAAGGGCCCGUUUCCAUGCUGUAUGACUCUGAGUAUCACAAAUGGUUGAAUUCAGUAAAAACAAAUUUAAAGCCUGCUGGGAAAGUCAUCACAAACAUCAUCAACCAACACCUGUAUGAUUAAUGAUAACGCAACUCUUAGAAUUGUCUUUGAACCAUUCGUGUGGUGAUGGAUUGCAAGAUUUCGCUGGUAGAUAAACUAAGAUGGGCCAUUCUCCUCCCCCUGCCCCAGCUCCCCUAUUUCCAUGGUCUUAACAAAAUGACAGAGAUUGAGCAAUUUCAGAAAAUAUGGAAAUCAUUCCUAUAAUUUCCAGAUGGAAAUCAUCUAAGCUGCUUAAUUAGAGUUGUAAUGAUGUUUCUCACACAAUAAUAAAAUUGCCAGAGAGAUACCUAACAUUGUAUGCAGCUCAGUGGAAUUGGUUAAGGGUUAUUUGCUGUCAACAAAUCUCCUUUGUCCUUGGACUACGUCAUGAUUAGUUGUGGAGGAUAUGCCACUGUUGAGUUUGUGCAGAAGAGGCACUGUUCUUAGGUAGCAAUGUUUAUGGACUGAUGUCAAUAAGAACACUUGAGCCUUAUUAUACACGGAUCCGCCUACUCGCCAGGUUGGCCGGCUAAUGCGUUUUUCUCCCCUUUGACAGGUCCCAAUGGAUGAUGCAGUACCUCCAGGUCUAUCAGGAUAGAUAGGGGAUUAUCUGCAGGUUUAUGUUUUUCUGCAGGAGUCCUAUGCCUAGAUUUCCCCCACAGAUAAUGCAGAUUAGGAAUACAGUAAUAUUUGGUAAGGCAUAAUUGAGAACCUUGGGGAGCUGGUACAGAUACAUCAGUUUCUUCUGAAAGCCAGAAUAGAAUUCCUUGUCUGUAGGUAGAGACUGUGUGUGACAUAAGGAAAAUGGGUGGAGCCAGUAUAAUGUACACAUUAAACUCUUCAGAACUAGUAUAUUGUUGUACAAGGUAAACUUUAAAUACCAAGCAUCUGUACUCUGUUAAUCCUUGAUAGAUUGAGAGACCCAUUUCUCCAAAUGAGAGGAUUUGUAAGCAGCUACGAAUUUGCACUGGACUUGUGGCACAGUGGGUAGUACCUCUACCUCUGAGCCUGAAGCACUGGGUUGAUUCACACCCAGAACUUGGUGAUCAUAAUGCAGCCAAACAAAUUGAUAAUCAAUUUGCAAAUCUUGCCAACAUACCAACAGCAGGUAGUAAGAGCUGAAUAGAUUCGUGGUCAGCCACGUGAUGAUGGAAAGAACAUUGGAACCUCCAGCAUUGUUAUCCAGACUGCAACAUGCAGGUUUUAAAAAGUGCAUGUUACCAGAGCAACAUGAAUGCCCUUAGUGAACUGAAACACAAAUUAAUCUGGAAUGAUUAUCUGGAUUAUACAGGAAAGUAAUCUGAAUUAAUUGUACCUCUUUAGAAUAUUUACCUGCAGGUUGUACUUGAGCUAAAAAGUUACAGGAGCAGAUCAGAAAAGCAACAAAACUUAUAUUUGUGUAGCUCCUUGAAUGUAAUACAUAGCCCCGUGCUGCUCUACAGGCACAUCAUAAAACAAAAUUUAACACUGAACCCCUUAGGGAGAUCUUGGGGAAGGGGACCAAAUGUUUUCCUCUUGGGUUUAAAGAGCUUUGUAAGGGAGGAUAGUGGUUUAGGGAGGCAAUCCCAGAGAUUAUAACCCAAGAAAGUGAGGCUGCCACUGAUGAAGCAGUUAAAGUUGGGGUUAUUUGGAAUAUUAACAAUUUUUGCAGCUGGAGGAGAUUAUAAAGAGGUAGGGAAGGAUGAGGCCUUGGGAAAAUUGUUGAACUGGCAUGAAAGCUUUAAGGUCAAACUUUUGGGAUGUAGAAUUUAAACUAAAGAUCAGCUUUAGCAGCUAGAUGUCAGAUCAGGGAUAAUCUAUCAGCAACAGUAACCAGGAUUCAUUUUGUCAUAGUUGCACUUCUCUCACAGCCCCAUCACAUUAUUUUUGCACAAACGGAAACAAAAACAACUUCGAAAGAAAAAUAAUAUGGGAUGAAAGUUAAACUAAAAGUUCAUCAGAUUGUUCUAUUUUUAUGUUUACGUGGUAAAUGAAUUUUUAAUCCUGUCGACCUUGUUGAUCACUACUUUGGCCGUUGUUGAAUGUGAGCAAGUCCAGGUACGCUGUCAACAAGUUGAAUCAUGACCACAACAGAUGGAAGCCUGCUCUCAACUGAGAUGAACAAUGAAGAUGCACUGUACGAGCAGCUUCUACUGCAGGCUGCAAAGGAGAUGCAGAAUCAACUUCCGACAGCACAGGAAUCCAAGCAGAUCAGACCACAGCCAGGCUUCUGUGUGAAGACAAAGAUGAAGACCAACGAGAAGGUUUUCAUCAAUGUUUGCAAGUCUGAUCAAAUUCCACCUCCACCAGAUCUCUCUGAGGAGGGCUUGGUCUCCCUGCUGGAAUCAGAUGAUCCUUCUGGAUACAGGAUUCCCAUGAGCCUCGGUGAACCACAUGCUGAAAUUGACAACAGUGGUAAUGGAUGCACUGCAUAUGACAUAGUCAUCAAUUCAAAAUUUUACAACAAAAUUCAGAACAACAAACUCUUCAUGGAAUUCUUCCUGACUAUCGGCUUUGAGGGGCUGGAAAACAAAUACAAUUUGGAACUUUCGCGAGAGUGGCGGAUGCUGAAGAACAGGAAAUUUCUGGGAUCUAUAACAGAACAAAACAUCAGAACAAAAUCAAAACCUGUUAUCCAGGAACUGGAAUCCAGCACUUCAUCUCCGGGAACCUGCAAUAAACCCCUUCUAUCAGAAAUAGAAAGUACCUGUGUGGAGCCAGAAUAUACAAUCGUGGCUGAGCCUGCAGAUGAGCACCCCAGCUUCCUGGUAGCAGAAAUCUCCUUACCAAAAGUGGAUUCAGCAGGAUCAUUACUACUCGACCUUGGAGAAGACCGGAUUGUGUUGUGGGCACGGCCAGAUCUUUAUCACUUAGAUAUUUACAUCCCGUACAACAUUGUUCAGGAGAAAAGUGGCUCUCAAUUCAACAGGAAAACCAGGGUUCUGACCAUAACGAUGCCAGUGCAGCCAGCCUAAGACCAGAAUUGCUUCCAGGACGAACAAUGUUCGCACAAACUGAAUAACCGGAACUUCUGCUCGUUCCCAGCAUGGCAGUUAAGAGCUGCUGAAAUUACAGCACUUGAGCUGUGAACACUUAGGAUGAGAAUUCUAACGCAUCACUGAGAGAGACCUUUCAGCAUUUCGAUUGCUGGGUGAAUCUGCAUUUCAGCAGCUUAAGGUAAGUGUCAAUUUUAUUUGUGUCUCGCCGGAAGCAGUGCAGGAGAUUGUACAGUUGCAACAUUAUUGAGUCUCCAUCUUCAGCUAAACGGUGUUCCCAUGGCACUGUCUGCUCAAUGGCUCCACCAAGCUGUCCAAUCUGAAAUGCAAAUGAGAAAUGUUUGCUGAUAAGUACAAUACUAGUGACUAUUCUUAUGCCUGCUUAGCUCAGUUGGCUGAGCAACUGGCGAAUGAUGCCAACAAGCAUAUGUUCAAUUCCUGUAGUGUCUGAGGUCUCCAUGAAUGUCCUGCCUUCUCAACCUCACCCCACACCUGAGACAUGGUGACCCUUGGGUUAAAUUCACCCCUAGUCAUCUCUCUCUCAUGAGAGUGGGACUAUGAUUCCUUUACCCUUGAUUGCUAGCCUCACCUAUUCCAGGCCCAGCAAUGCCCCAUUUUAAAAUUCACAUCCUUGAUUUCAAAUCCCACCCCCCUGCAACACUGCCCCUUCCGUCUCUCUGUGAUCUCCUCCAGCCCUGCAAAGAUCUCUGUAUUCCUCUGUUGCUAUUGCCCCACUGGUCACCCCUGUUGAGGCCCCCAAGCUCCAGAAUUCACUCCUGAGACCUCAUUAGCUCUUCAAGUCAAACCUUAAAAUCUUUCUCUUUGAUCACGCUAUUGGCCAACAUUCCUUAAUAUCUCCAUACUGCAAUGUCAGAUUUUGUCUGGUGGAGCUCCCAUGAAAUACACUGGGAAGUUUCACUAUGUUAAGGGCAUGGUAUUGAAGCCUUAAGGGAAUUCUGGAAGUGGAAUUAGAACUAGGUCAGGCAGACUCCCAAUCCUCUCUGUGGUCAACUAACCUUCUGCUGCUCACUGUCUAUUCUGAUAUCUGUGGAACCCUGACAAGUGAUUGUGAAUUCGAACCAGAACAGAGAAAAUAGCAUAACAGAACAUGCCAUUUUAUGGGGUGGUGAGUCCCUGUAACUAAUAAUUUAUAUAACAGUGGAGUAGCAGUGGUUUAAAGUUAAAUCCAAUGGUCCAGUACUCCAGACCCCAGACUAGAUAUGGAGUUGAAUCCCGUCAAGGUAGCUGAUGAAAUUUAUAUUUGAGGUUGUUGACUUGCUCGCUGAGCUGGAUUGUUUUUGCUUAGACAUUUCGUCACCAUGCCAGGUGAUAUCAUCAGU